AGCGAGAUGGAGUAAUUGGCAACUCAUCAGGCUCAUGACCUGAAUAUUGUAGGUUCAAGUCCUACUCUCGCCA
RNAcentral lists this transfer RNA (73 nucleotides) under Coleochaete scutata. Its description in RNAcentral is "tRNA-Met". It matches the Rfam family "tRNA". From Rfam's summary of the family: Transfer RNA (tRNA) molecules are approximately 80 nucleotides in length. Lineage: Eukaryota; Viridiplantae; Streptophyta; Coleochaetophyceae; Coleochaetales; Coleochaetaceae. The record is from RNAcentral.